GGGAAUUUUGGACAAUGGGGGCAACCCUGAUCCAGCCAUUCCGCGUGAGUGAAGAAGGCCUUCGGGUUGUAAAGCUCUUUCAGCUGAAACGAAACGGUGCGCUCUAACAUAGCGCGCUACUGACGGUACCAGCAGAAGAAGCACCGGCUAACUACGUGCCAGCAGCCGCGGUAAUACGUAGGGUGCGAGCGUUAAUCGGAAUUACUGGGCGUAAAGCGUGCGCAGGCGGUUUUGUAAGACAGAUGUGAAAUCCCCGGGCUUAACCUGGGAACUGCGUUUGUGACUGCAAGGCUGGAGUACGGCAGAGGGGGGUGGAAUUCCACGUGUAGCAGUGAAAUGCGUAGAGAUGUGGAGGAACACCGAUGGCGAAGGCAGCCCCCUGGGCCUGUACUGACGCUCAUGCACGAAAGCGUGGGGAGCAAACA
RNAcentral lists this ribosomal RNA (425 nucleotides) under uncultured bacterium. RNAcentral's name for it is "bacterial SSU rRNA". It matches the Rfam family "Bacterial small subunit ribosomal RNA", at positions 357 to 774 of the family's 1533-position model. The record is from RNAcentral.